UUGGAGGGCAAGUCUGGUGCCAGCAGCCGCGGUAAUUCCAGCUCCAAUAGCGUAUAUUAAAGUUGUUGCAGUUAAAAAGCUCGUAGUUGAAUUUCGGGGUUCUACCGUUGGUCGGGCAAUAGUCUGUACUGGCGUGUAGAAUUUCUACCUUCUGGGGAACUAUCAUGUUAUUUAUUUAGCGUGGUAGGAAACCAGGACCUUUACCUUGAAAAAAUUAGAGUGUUCAAGGCAGGCUUACGUCUGAAUACACUAGCAUGGAAUAAUAAAAUAGGACGGUGGUCCUGUUUUGUUGGUUUCUGAAUCACCGUAAUGAUUAAUAGGGAUAGUUGGGGGCAUUAGUAUUCAAUUGUCAGAGGUGAAAUUCUUGGAUUUAUUGAAGACUAACUCCUGCGAAAGCAUUUGCCAAGGAUGUUUUCAUUAAUCAAGAACGAAAGUUAGGGGAUCGAAGACGAUCAGAUACCGUCGUAGUCUUAACCAUAAACUAUGCCGACUAGGGAUCGGACGAUGUUAAUUUUUCUUGACUCGUUCGGCACCUUACGGGAAAC
RNAcentral lists this ribosomal RNA (545 nucleotides) under uncultured Gigasporaceae. Its description in RNAcentral is "SSU rRNA". It matches the Rfam family "Eukaryotic small subunit ribosomal RNA", at positions 548 to 1098 of the family's 1831-position model. The record is from RNAcentral. Lineage: Eukaryota; Fungi; Glomeromycota; Glomeromycetes; Diversisporales; Gigasporaceae.